RNAcentral lists this unclassified non-coding RNA (133 nucleotides) under uncultured Ascomycota. RNAcentral describes it as "sequence contains ITS1". Lineage: Eukaryota; Fungi; Ascomycota. The record is from RNAcentral.
AAGAGUUGCAAAACUCCCACAAACCAUCGCGAACGUUACCCGGACGUCGUUGCUUCGGCGGGCUCGCCCGCCGGGGGACGCUACCCAACCAUUGCAGUCAUUGGCCUCUCUGAGUAUGAUUUUAAAUAAGUCA